GAAGCGCAGUAAUGCGUGAAGCUAACUUGUACUAAUUGGCUGAUUGUCUUGACCAUAUAAUCUG
RNAcentral lists this ribosomal RNA (64 nucleotides) under Legionella pneumophila. RNAcentral describes it as "partial 23S ribosomal RNA". The record is from RNAcentral. Lineage: Bacteria; Pseudomonadati; Pseudomonadota; Gammaproteobacteria; Legionellales; Legionellaceae.